RNAcentral lists this ribosomal RNA (115 nucleotides) under Pteropus alecto (black flying fox). Lineage: Eukaryota; Metazoa; Chordata; Mammalia; Chiroptera; Pteropodidae. The record is from RNAcentral.
GUCUAUGGCCAAGCCACCCUGAACAAGCCCUAUGUCUGAUCUCGAAGCUAAGUAGGGUUGGGCCUGGUUAGUACUUGGGUGAAAGACCACAUAGGAAGACCAGGUGCUGUAGGCA